GAUGAACGCUGGCGGCGUGCUUAACACAUGCAAGUCGAACGAUGAAGCCCAGCUUGCUGGGUGGAUUAGUGGCGAACGGGUGAGUAACACGUGAGUAACCUGCCCUUAACUCUGGGAUAAGCCUGGGAAACUAGGUCUAAUACCGGAUAGGAGCGCCUACCGCAUGGUGGGUGUUGGAAAGAUUUAUCGGUUUUGGAUGGACUCGCGGCCUAUCAGCUUGUUGGUGAGGUAAUGGCUCACCAAGGCGACGACGGGUAGCCGGCCUGAGAGGGUGACCGGCCACACUGGGACUGAGACACGGCCCAGACUCCUACGGGAGGCAGCAGUGGGGAAUAUUGCACAAUGGGCGCAAGCCUGAUGCAGCGACGCCGCGUGAGGGAUGACGGCCUUCGGGUUGUAAACCUCUUUCAGUAGGGAAGAAGCGAAAGUGACGGUACCUGCAGAAGAAGCUCCGGCUAACUACGUGCCAGCAGCCGCGGUAAUACGUAGGGUGCGAGCGUUAUCCGGAAUUAUUGGGCGUAAAGAGCUCGUAGGCGGUUUGUCGCGUCUGUCGUGAAAGUCCGGGGCUUAACCCCGGAUCUGCGGUGGGUACGGGCAGACUAGAGUGCAGUAGGGGAGACUGGAAUUCCUGGUGUAGCGGUGGAAUGCGCAGAUAUCAGGAGGAACACCGAUGGCGAAGGCAGGUCUCUGGGCUGUAACUGACGCUGAGGAGCGAAAGCAUGGGGAGCGAACAGG
RNAcentral lists this ribosomal RNA (735 nucleotides) under Micrococcus luteus. RNAcentral's name for it is "bacterial SSU rRNA". It matches the Rfam family "Bacterial small subunit ribosomal RNA", at positions 28 to 776 of the family's 1533-position model. Lineage: Bacteria; Bacillati; Actinomycetota; Actinomycetes; Micrococcales; Micrococcaceae. The record is from RNAcentral.